CGGACGGGUGAGUAAUGUCUGGGAAACUGCCUGAUGGAGGGGGAUAACUACUGGAAACGGUAGCUAAUACCGCAUAACGUCGCAAGACCAAAGAGGGGGACCUUUGGGCCUCUUGCCAUCAGAUGUGCCCAGAUGGGAUUAGCUAGUAGGUGGGGUAACGGCUCACCUAGGCGACGAUCCCUAGCUGGUCUGAGAGGAUGACCAGCCACACUGGAACUGAGACACAGUCCAGACUCCUACGGGAGGCAGCAUG
RNAcentral lists this ribosomal RNA (253 nucleotides) under uncultured bacterium. RNAcentral describes it as "partial 16S ribosomal RNA". It matches the Rfam family "Bacterial small subunit ribosomal RNA", at positions 99 to 353 of the family's 1533-position model. The record is from RNAcentral.